RNAcentral lists this ribosomal RNA (318 nucleotides) under Vibrio chagasii. Its description in RNAcentral is "partial 16S ribosomal RNA". It matches the Rfam family "Bacterial small subunit ribosomal RNA", at positions 1226 to 1533 of the family's 1533-position model. The record is from RNAcentral. Lineage: Bacteria; Pseudomonadati; Pseudomonadota; Gammaproteobacteria; Vibrionales; Vibrionaceae.
UACAAUGGCGCAUACAGAGGGCAGCGAACUUGCGAGAGUGAGCGAAUCCCAAAAAGUGCGUCGUAGUCCGGAUUGGAGUCUGCAACUCGACUCCAUGAAGUCGGAAUCGCUAGUAAUCGUAGAUCAGAAUGCUACGGUGAAUACGUUCCCGGGCCUUGUACACACCGCCCGUCACACCAGGGGAGUGGGCUGCAAAAGAAGUGGGUAGUUUAACCUUCGGGAGGACGCUCACCACUUUGUGGUUCAUGACUGGGGUGAAGUCGUAACAAGGUAGCCCUAGGGGAACCUGGGGCUGGAUCACCUCCUUAUACGAAGAUA